UGUGGAGGGCGCUUAUUUUAUAAUCUCCGAACAUCUGUCGGAGAGAAAACGGUGAGGAAAGAAAAUAAUAUCAGCUGUGACGUGCGCCUGCAUUUUUAUACCAGGACAUAGAUCUAAGACGAGCAUAUUAUGCAAGGAAGCAGAAAGGGGAUUGUUUUCUCAAGGAAGAAAUGUCACUUGGAAAAAUGACCUUCACCAUUUGCCCAUCACCGAAAACUAAUAGAUUUGUUAAAACAACAUUUCUUGGUUGACAUAAGUGUGGAACCUCCUUCCCUCCACUCGUAUAGAAUGGAAUACAUCAGGUUUCAUCACUGCUAGUUUUUAAAUACUUUUGUUCUGUAUAUAGGAAAAAAUAAUUAAAAUAAACGUAGUGUUAAAAUAUUCUUCCCAAAGAAUUAACCUAGAAGUUUAUGAAAUGGUUAAGGUUAUAGACAACAUCAAAUUAUUUAAAAAGUUAAAAGAAAAAAGGUAGCAAAGAAUUGCACAAAGACUCUCAAUGGCAGAAUAAGUAUUUAACAAAUGUGGUUCCACACAUACAUAUAAAGUAGAAAAGGAAACAUUUUUCUUCCUCAUGCUACUAGAAUCCAGGGUCUCCCAAUUAAACUGAACAGUGAAAAAUUCUGGAACAAAUGAUGUUAAUGAUUUAUUAAAUUUAUAUGAUGCUCGACUGCCUAGUGAAAUACACAUUCAUAAGUACAUAAAGAAUUAAAUUCACUUCUAUAUGGUAAUUGGAGAAAUGAAUGAAGCAUAACAUUAGCAAAUCAAUCAGAAUACCGUAAAUGCCGGCAUAUAAGACGACUUCCGCGAGCACUGAAAUCGGCGCCAAAGACGGGGGUCGUCUUAUACGCCGAGUCGUCUUAUACACCGGAAAUACUGGUAGUUUCCGGCGUAUAAGACGACGUUCUAGGAAUGUGGCCCGGCUAUAAAGACAGGGGUCGUCUUAUACGCCGGGUCGCCUAGUACGGCGGCAUAUACGGUAACUGUAUGUGGCCUUCAGUAUCAGUGUGAAAAUGAUGGUCUACUCAUCCUACGUAUAGACUUCCUGUAGUCAUCUAGUUCAGGGGCCCCCAACCCCUGGUCCGUAGACCGAUACUGGGCCGCGGCAUGCCAGCAACCGGGCCGCACAAACAAACAAAGCCCUAUCCGCAGGAUGCAGGCAGCACACAAAACCACGCCCCCUCCGAUCCGUGGAAAAACCUCUCUCCAUGGAACUGGUCCCUGGUGCCCAAAAGGUUGGGGACCUCUGAUCUAGUUCAUUCACUCAUUCAGUGUUAGCAGGGCAAAAGAAUAAGCAAAAACAAAAAAGCCAGUGCUUCUCUUAAGACAAUUGAAACUAGUUGACAAUAAUGUAAGGCAACGAUGAGAAGAAAAAGGGGCACUAAAGAUGCAGGAAGGAAGAGGAUUUAAAACAGAAUUAUAUUCUUAUAGAGACUAUACUAGGUCUAAAAACACUGGAUUAUUAUGCAUAAUAUCUAUACUUCACACUGCACAAGUCAAUUUGUUACCCAACUAACAAAAUGUUAAAGAGAUUUUCAUAUCAGGUGAAGAAUUGUUUUCCCUUAUAUAGUUUAUUUGGUCUUAUUUGAUCAGAAGUGACAUAAUUUCUUUAAAGUCACUUACAAGUGCAGAAUUCUAAAGUUUCAUCAUGUUUUUAGGUCCCCUUUGUUUAUUUUUACUUUUAUUAUGAUUUUUGUUAGGCUUGUCAAUAAUAUUGCUAAUGAAGAUUUUUAUCAUGCUUGUUCUGUUUUCAGAGCUCAUGUUUAGAACUACUCUUAUUGGCAAUCUAGGAAAACAUUAAAUGUAUAUAUGUAUGAACGAUUUGAUCAUUCCUUUCUAGACCUUUAAUUCAUUUGUGAGAAGUAGCUAAUUGGGAGCCCUAGAAAGUGCACCUGCUGUUGUUAUAAGUGAUGUUUGCAGUCCAUGUUCAAUGUAAAAACACAAUGUCAAUAGGCAAAAUCAAAAUCUUUAGAGUGAAGAUCAUCCUGGAAUUUGUGCCUAAUAAAUCAACUCCCAAAACUGAACUAUUUGGAAAUGGAUUUACUGAUGCUUGCCUCUUCACUUGCAUAUAACAAAUGCAGUAAAGUAUAUGAUAACAAUAUAAUUUUAUAUGUUUUUAUAUAUCAAUUAUAUUAUAUUGUACUCUUCCCAGAACCCCCCAUUGAGGGAAAUACAGGUACUUUAGAAAUAUGAAAAACAAGCAAGCUAACAAACAAAAAAUAAAUUGACACUUUUUACCUCUGCCAAAUCUAGACAAGUUAUACUUCUUAAAUCAUGGGAAGUUAGAUUUGCAGGUUGUAUUGCUAAAUUUCUGAAAAUUGAGAUAUUGCACUAAAACCAGGAAAGAAAGCAGAACCUUAAAAAAGGGUGUGUUUUUUUUUACAAAUGUGUUUAUUGUUUGCUAAAAAUUAUAUAAAAUCAAAAUAAUGCCUCCAUGGAGAAGUUCACAUAGUAAUUUUGUGGAUCAGCUAAAGUUGGCUACAGUUUGGCAUAUCUAUGGCAUUAUUAUAAGUCAUUUUAUCAUAUACAUAAAUUCAAAUGUACAAAUGUAAGUAUAUUUUUUAAAAAGUGCAUCUGAAUCCUUUGCAAACUAUUACAUGUCCAGUAAAUAUAUUCUUUCCUAUUUCUUUUCUGUAGAGUUCUGGAGUUAUAUUUUUGGGUUUUUUUGGCAAUGAUUUUGAGUUGAUGGGCAGUCUUGGUCUUUGGAUAACAUGUUGGUAUGGGACCCAUAUUCCUAUGUGUGUCCCAUACAAAAAAAGUCAAAUUUGAUUUGAUUAAAUUUGAAAUUAGUUUACUUAAUUAGCAGGACAUUCCACCACAGAUCUCUAAGUAAUUUGAAAAAAAAUGUUAUCGAUGAAGUUGAGGGAGAAACUCAGGUCUCAAUUGGUUUUUAACACAUUAUCAUAAAAUGCUUAUAACAAAAUACUUCUAAUGUAUCUUAUUAUAUUAUAUCUACCCUGUCUUUCUGUCUUUUUACUCUUCCAUCCCUAUUUAAAUUGUACUUCAGUCAUGUCCCUCCAUGCAUCUGAAAAAAUGAGCUGGGUUCAUAAAAGCUUAUGCCUUUUAAUAAAAUGUCUUUUUUGUAUAACUUUUAUAGAAGAAAUUUUAAUAAAGUAAAAAAUAAAAGAAAAUAAAGAUACUAAAGAAAAA
Long non-coding RNA from Crotalus tigris (Tiger rattlesnake), 3147 nucleotides. RefSeq lists it as uncharacterized. The transcript is spliced from 2 exons. The record is from RefSeq and is a predicted model, not a curated record. NCBI's taxonomy places the organism in Eukaryota, Metazoa, Chordata, Lepidosauria, Squamata, Viperidae.